GGGUGAGUAACACGUGGGCAAUCUGCCCUAAAGACUGGGAUACCACUUGGAAACAGGUGCUAAUACCGGAUAACAACAUGAAUCGCAUGAUUCAAGUUUGAAAGGCGGCGUAAGCUGUCACUUUAGGAUGAGCCCGCGGCGCAUUAGCUAGUUGGUGGGGUAAAGGCCUACCAAGGCAAUGAUGCGUAGCCGAGUUGAGAGACUGAUCGGCCACAUUGGGACUGAGACACGGCCCAAACUCCUACGGGAGGCAGCAGUAGGGAAUCUUCCACAAUGGACGCAAGUCUGAUGGAGCAACGCCGCGUGAGUGAAGAAGGUUUUCGGAUCGUAAAGCUCUGUUGUUGGUGAAGAAGGAUAGAGGCAGUAACUGGUCUUUAUUUGACGGUAAUCAACCAGAAAGUCACGGCUAACUACGUGCCAGCAGCCGCGGUAAUACGUAGGUGGCAAGCGUUGUCCGGAUUUAUUGGGCGUAAAGCGAGCGCAGGCGGAAUGAUAAGUCUGAUGUGAAAGCCCACGGCUCAACCGUGGAACUGCAUCGGAAACUGUCAUUCUUGAGUGCAGAAGAGGAGAGUGGAAUUCCAUGUGUAGCGGUGGAAUGCGUAGAUAUAUGGAAGAACACCAGUGGCGAAGGCGGCUCUCUGGUCUGCAACUGACGCUGAGGCUCGAAAGCAUGGGUAGCGAACAGGAUUAGAUACCCUGGUAGUCCAUGCCGUAAACGAUGAGCGCUAGGUGUUGGGGACUUUCCGGUCCUCAGUGCCGCAGCAAACGCAUUAAGCGCUCCGCCUGGGGAGUACGACCGCAAGGUUGAAACUCAAAGGAAUUGACGG
This 827-nucleotide ribosomal RNA is filed under the name Lactobacillus delbrueckii subsp. bulgaricus. RNAcentral's name for it is "bacterial SSU rRNA". It matches the Rfam family "Bacterial small subunit ribosomal RNA", at positions 104 to 916 of the family's 1533-position model. The record is from RNAcentral. Lineage: Bacteria; Bacillati; Bacillota; Bacilli; Lactobacillales; Lactobacillaceae.